Molecule: ribosomal RNA, 465 nt
Filed under: uncultured Myxococcales bacterium
Lineage: Bacteria; Pseudomonadati; Myxococcota; Myxococcia; Myxococcales
Description: bacterial SSU rRNA
Rfam family: Bacterial small subunit ribosomal RNA
Source: RNAcentral
CCUACGGGCGGCUGCAGUGGGGAAUAUUGGACAAUGGGCGAAAGCCUGAUCCAGCCAUGCCGCGUGAGUGAUGAAGGCCUUCGGGUCGUAAAGCUCUGUGGGGAGGGACGAAAAGCAGGACGCUAAUACCGGCCUGAAUUGACGGUACCUCCUUAGCAAGCACCGGCUAACUCCGUGCCAGCAGCCGCGGUAAUACGGAGGGUGCAAACGUUGCUCGGAAUCAUUGGGCGUAAAGCGCGCGUAGGCGGUCUCUUAAGUCGGAAGUGAAAGCCCUGGGCUCAACCCAGGAAGUGCUUUCGAAACUGAGAGGCUUGAGUAUGGAAGAGGGUCGCGGAAUUCCCGGUGUAGAGGUGAAAUUCGUAGAUAUCGGGAGGAACACCAGUGGCGAAGGCGGCGACCUGGGCCAAUACUGACGCUGAGGUGCGAAAGCGUGGGGAGCAAACAGGAUUAGAUACCCCAGUAGUC